This is a long non-coding RNA of Mirounga angustirostris (Northern elephant seal), 1569 nucleotides long. RefSeq lists it as uncharacterized. Lineage: Eukaryota; Metazoa; Chordata; Mammalia; Carnivora; Phocidae. The record is from RefSeq and is a predicted model, not a curated record. The transcript is spliced from 3 exons.
ACCGCCCUGCUUGGUCACGUGCGCUCGCGGGGGAGUUGGCGCGGGAGGCGGCUCUCGAGACGCCGAAGGACACCGAGGCUUCGGGACGGGAGCCGUAACACUGAGCCUGAGAGACUGUCGGGGCAGGGAAAACCCCGGAGCGCGGUACUGACUGAGCCAGGGAACGACCUGGGACCGCGCGUGAGGGACGCCGACGCGCCACACACCGGCCGCAGGCCUGCGGCAGGCCUCCGCAACUCCGUACCCCACACACAAACUUAGAGGCCUCGAGACAAGGACAGGAACCGAAAGGCAAGACCGAGACCGCGAAAGAUAUUUGCAUACUGAGAAAGUGUGACACACAAAGGUUGAGACUAAAGCGAGAGACUCAGGAACCAGUGUUGUUGAGCAUCUACGUUCCUGGGCAUCCACAUUCUAGAGUGAGGAUAUAGACAGGUAGAUAAGAAAGAAGGGAAGGAAGAGAGGUAAAAAAAAAUAUUCAAGUUGUGAUAAGUGCUGUGAAGAAAUAUAAAGCAGAGUAAGGGGUCAGAGGGUAGUGGAGAAAGACCUGGAGAUUCAGAGACUGAGACCCAGAUUGGUACAGAUGGGCAGAAUCUCAGGACAUACCAAAACAUGAAUGCAAAGGUGGAAACACCAAAACCAAAACAUUAAGAUCUAGAGAAAAUGAGACACACUGGGGCCCUGAAGUACUCAAAAACAGCAGAGGAUGAAAAAUAAAAAUAAAUCCUAAAGCAGGUGAAUACCAAGAAUAGCUAAGACAAUAAGACAAUGAAACAGCCACUGCUUCUGAGCAUUUCCCAGGCCAUCUUUGAAGGGGGAAUAAGGAUGUAAGAUCCUGCAUCUCAAUUAUCCGACACUGUGAUCUUGAAAGCCCUCAACUCUGGACUUCUAGAUGUCAGCAAAGUUCAGUCUCAAAGAUUCUUCCUUUGUAAUAAGCAAAAGGAAAAUGGGACAAGACUGACAGCACUCUGAGGUGGUUUUAUAUCUGCAUUCAGUGGGAGAGACAGGGUGGAGUGUGCUGAUUCCAUCUCAUCUGGAACAUUUCAUUUUGUAGGAUGUCCUCAACACAGGGAUGCGUUAUGACUUUGGUAGGUCCUAGACACUUUUGCAUUUGUGGGCUCCUUCCUCUAUAAAAGAAAAAUAAAAUACAUUUCAUAUCACUUUGGUACAAAGAUGAAUAUAAUCCAGGCUGGAUUCAUUACUAUUAACAUUCAUUUAUUUCUUCUGAUUUCAAAAUAAAUUAAGACUUAAGUAUUUUUGUGGGUCUCUAAAAAUAUCAUGGAUAAAUUGGCGCCAUCUCAGUCUGGGUCUGUUCAAUGUUUCCUUGAGACUAGACCCAGAAUGUGUCAGAGUACUGCUGAAAUGAUACUGUGUUAUUCUCAGCAUAUCAAGAUGACUUGAUCAUCAUGGGAACCUCGACUGGUCAUAGGAACCUUGGUUCCAUUGUCAAAUUGCUGCCUGCUGGACAUUUUCUCCUUUGUGCCGGAUAAGUUUUGUGGGGAGAUAUCUGAGACUUUGCCAAUUCUCCAGUUGUCUCUAUUUGCCUAAUAAACUACCCUCAAAUUUACU